AGCCAAAGGUGGUUUCAUUUAUCUGCAUUUGCACCUGCACCUCUUCGAUCCUAGAUUAAUGGUUUCUGCCAAGUACUACUGGAAUGCAGAAGAUCAAUAGGUGCAGGUGUAAGUGCAGACGAAUGCCUUCUUGGUU
This 136-nucleotide microRNA precursor is filed under the name Fragaria vesca subsp. vesca. RNAcentral's name for it is "Fragaria vesca miR530 stem-loop (fve-MIR530)". Its record names the gene fve-MIR530. The record is from miRBase by way of RNAcentral. Lineage: Eukaryota; Viridiplantae; Streptophyta; Magnoliopsida; Rosales; Rosaceae.